Molecule: ribosomal RNA, 451 nt
Filed under: uncultured bacterium
Lineage: Bacteria
Description: partial 16S ribosomal RNA
Rfam family: Bacterial small subunit ribosomal RNA
Source: RNAcentral
GAUGAACGCUGGCGGCGUGCCUAAUACAUGCAAGUCGAACGAGGUCUUCGGACCUAGUGGCGAACGGGUGAGUAACACGUUGGUACCUACCCCGAAGUGGGGAAUAACUGCCCGAAAGGGUGGCUAAUACCGCAUAAUACCGCAAGGUUAAAGCAGUAAUGCGCCUCGGGAGGGGCCUGCGUCCCAUUAGCUAGUUGGUAGGGUAAUGGCCUACCAAGGCGACGAUGGGUAGCUGGAUCGAGAGGUUGACCAGCCACACUGGGACUGAGAUACGGCCCAGACUCCUACGGGAGGCAGCAGUAAGGAAUCUUCCACAAUGGACGAAAGUCUGAUGGAGCAACGCCGCGUGCAGGAUGACGGCCUUCGGGUUGUAAACUGCUUUUAUACGGGAAGAUUAUGACGGUACCGUAUGAAUAAGGACCGGCUAACUACGUGCCAGCAGCCGCAGUAA